GAUGAAGAACGUAGUGAAAUGCGAUAAGUAGUGUGAAUUGCAGAAUUCAGUGAAUCAUCGAAUCUUUGAACGCACAUUGCGCCCCUUGGUAUUCCGAGGGGCAUGCCUGUUCGAGCGUCAUUAUAACCCUCAAGCUCAGCUUGGUGUUGGGGCCUGCUGCACUGGCAGCCCUUAAAAUCAGUGGCGGCGCCAUCUGGCUCUAAGCGUAGUAAUUCUUCUCGCUAUGGAGUCCUGGUGGAUGCUUGCCAUCAACCCCCAAUUUUUCUAUGGUUGACCUCGGAUCAGGUAGGGAUACCCGCUGAACUUAAGCAUAUCAAUAAGCGGAGG
This 327-nucleotide unclassified non-coding RNA is filed under the name soil metagenome. Its description in RNAcentral is "partial contains 5.8S ribosomal RNA, internal transcribed spacer 2, and large subunit ribosomal RNA". The stretch from base 1 to 120 matches the Rfam family "5.8S ribosomal RNA", at positions 35 to 154 of the family's 154-position model. The record is from RNAcentral.